GAUGAACGCUGGCGGCGUGCUUAACACAUGCAAGUCGAACGGUGAAGCUCCAGCUUGCUGGAGUGGAUCAGUGGCGAACGGGUGAGUAACACGUGAGCAACCUGCCCCUGACUCUGGGAUAACAGCCGGAAACGGCUGCUAAUACCGGAUAUGCACCAUGAACGCAUGUUCUGUGGUGGGAAAGAUUUUUCGGGUGGGGAUGGGCUCGCGGCCUAUCAGCUUGUUGGUGAGGUAAUGGCUCACCAAGGCGUCGACGGGUAGCCGGCCUGAGAGGGUGACCGGCCACACUGGGACUGAGACACGGCCCAGACUCCUACGGGAGGCAGCAGUGGGGAAUAUUGCACAAUGGGCGAAAGCCUGAUGCAGCAACGCCGCGUGAGGGAUGACGGCCUUCGGGUUGUAAACCUCUUUUAGCAGGGAAGAAGCGAGAGUGACGGUACCUGCAGAAAAAGCGCCGGCUAACUACGUG
This 469-nucleotide ribosomal RNA is filed under the name uncultured bacterium. RNAcentral describes it as "partial 16S ribosomal RNA". It matches the Rfam family "Bacterial small subunit ribosomal RNA", at positions 28 to 507 of the family's 1533-position model. The record is from RNAcentral.